AGUUAUAUAACUAUUAUUUGUUUGCUGGGAUGUUAUUGAUAUAAUGAAAACGAAUAAUCAAAUUAAUAAAAUGCUUCUUUAAAUUUCACAUCAAAAAAGGUGGAAGUCUUGCUAUGAAGACACUGAAGAAGUAGCGAAGAUAUUGAAGAAGGAUAAGCACCCCAGCAAACACAAGAAACAUUUAUAUAACUAUUAGUUAUAAUUUCCCACUCAACAAUAUAAUUGUUACAUGUCAUAUAGCAGUUAUAUAACGUUAUUUAAUGUUUGCUGGGACGAUAUUGCACUUCCUUAAUUUAUAAAUUUUUACUUGCGAAUAACAACAAAAUUCUGUAAGAAAGAUAUCUUAAGAAUUGGAAUCGUUUGUGCUCGGAUCUCGGAUCAAUUAUAAGUUGAUUCAUUCUACGAGAAAAAAAUAAUUUUGAAAGAUCAGGACUCGAUUAUACGAUUUCGCAUGUCUUGACGGAUGAAUUGAGCGCAAUGAGAUGAUUUAUCUUCUUAGUAUCAAUUAAACUGCAUUGGAACGUGAUGCAUUUGCAUUCCAAAGUACAUCAAGGAUGCAUGAUUGAAACGAUAAGAUGUCUUGACACUCCGGAUGAAUAGAAGCCAAUGAGAUUGAUCACAUUUAUCUUCCAAGUAUCAAUUAAACUGGAUAUGCAUAUUGGAACAUGACGCAUUUGCAUUUCAAAGGUUUUUUUGCGUAAGUCGACUAUGAUGACUAUCAACGUGCAAUUAAAUAAUCAUCAGCAACAUGGCUUUCGUCUAUUAGAAUAUGUCGAGAACGCAUGAUCGAAACGUUAAGAUGUCUUGAAAAGCGUCAAAAAACUGCUUUAAAAUGCUUCAUGAGAGACUUGUUGUUGAGACUUUUUAUGACAUGUUGUCUUAUAUGCAUUUUAUUUCAAUUAUAGGUAUAAUUUUACAUAAAUUUAGACAAAUUGCUUGGCAUACAUUAUAUUGC
This is a long non-coding RNA of Camponotus floridanus (Florida carpenter ant), 955 nucleotides long. RefSeq lists it as uncharacterized. NCBI's taxonomy places the organism in Eukaryota, Metazoa, Arthropoda, Insecta, Hymenoptera, Formicidae. The record is from RefSeq and is a predicted model, not a curated record. The transcript is spliced from 3 exons.